Molecule: non-coding RNA, 76 nt
Organism: Podarcis lilfordi (Lilford's wall lizard)
Lineage: Eukaryota; Metazoa; Chordata; Lepidosauria; Squamata; Lacertidae
Source: the annotation of a GenBank genome assembly
GCCUGAUAAGUAGCUCAGUCGGUAGAGCACGAGACUCUUAAUUUCAGGGCCGUGGGAUCAAGUCUCACAUUGGGCA